AUCUACGGUCAUAGAAUCGAUAAACCUGUGCAUCCCUUUAGCUCUGCGAAGUUAAGUCCGAUAUCGCUCGAACAAUACCACGGUUGGGGAUAAGUUGGGAUUCUCGAGUGCUGUAGUUG
Ribosomal RNA from Kwoniella mangroviensis CBS 10435, 119 nucleotides. Lineage: Eukaryota; Fungi; Basidiomycota; Tremellomycetes; Tremellales; Cryptococcaceae. The record is from Rfam.